RNAcentral lists this ribosomal RNA (1547 nucleotides) under Vibrio scophthalmi. RNAcentral's name for it is "bacterial SSU rRNA". It matches the Rfam family "Bacterial small subunit ribosomal RNA". Lineage: Bacteria; Pseudomonadati; Pseudomonadota; Gammaproteobacteria; Vibrionales; Vibrionaceae. The record is from RNAcentral.
AAAUUGAAGAGUUUGAUCAUGGCUCAGAUUGAACGCUGGCGGCAGGCCUAACACAUGCAAGUCGAGCGGUAACAUUUCAAAAGCUUGCUUUUGAAGAUGACGAGCGGCGGACGGGUGAGUAAUGCCUGGGAAUAUGCCUUGAUGUGGGGGAUAACCAUUGGAAACGAUGGCUAAUACCGCAUAAUGCCUACGGGCCAAAGAGGGGGAUCUUCGGACCUCUCGCGUCAAGAUUAGCCCAGGUGGGAUUAGCUAGUUGGUGAGGUAAUGGCUCACCAAGGCGACGAUCCCUAGCUGGUCUGAGAGGAUGAUCAGCCACACUGGAACUGAGACACGGUCCAGACUCCUACGGGAGGCAGCAGUGGGGAAUAUUGCACAAUGGGCGCAAGCCUGAUGCAGCCAUGCCGCGUGUGUGAAGAAGGCCUUCGGGUUGUAAAGCACUUUCAGUCGUGAGGAAGGUUCAUACGUUAAUAGCGUAUGGAUUUGACGUUAGCGACAGAAGAAGCACCGGCUAACUCCGUGCCAGCAGCCGCGGUAAUACGGAGGGUGCGAGCGUUAAUCGGAAUUACUGGGCGUAAAGCGCAUGCAGGUGGUUUGUUAAGUCAGAUGUGAAAGCCCGGGGCUCAACCUCGGAAUUGCAUUUGAAACUGGCAGACUAGAGUACUGUAGAGGGGGGUAGAAUUUCAGGUGUAGCGGUGAAAUGCGUAGAGAUCUGAAGGAAUACCGGUGGCGAAGGCGGCCCCCUGGACAGAUACUGACACUCAGAUGCGAAAGCGUGGGGAGCAAACAGGAUUAGAUACCCUGGUAGUCCACGCCGUAAACGAUGUCUACUUGGAGGUUGUGGCCUUGAGCCGUGGCUUUCGGAGCUAACGCGUUAAGUAGACCGCCUGGGGAGUACGGUCGCAAGAUUAAAACUCAAAUGAAUUGACGGGGGCCCGCACAAGCGGUGGAGCAUGUGGUUUAAUUCGAUGCAACGCGAAGAACCUUACCUACUCUUGACAUCCAGAGAAGCCAGCGGAGACGCAGGUGUGCCUUCGGGAACUCUGAGACAGGUGCUGCAUGGCUGUCGUCAGCUCGUGUUGUGAAAUGUUGGGUUAAGUCCCGCAACGAGCGCAACCCUUAUCCUUGUUUGCCAGCGAGUAAUGUCGGGAACUCCAGGGAGACUGCCGGUGAUAAACCGGAGGAAGGUGGGGACGACGUCAAGUCAUCAUGGCCCUUACGAGUAGGGCUACACACGUGCUACAAUGGCGCAUACAGAGGGCUGCCAACCAGCGAUGGUGAGCGAAUCCCAAAAAGUGCGUCGUAGUCCGGAUUGGAGUCUGCAACUCGACUCCAUGAAGUCGGAAUCGCUAGUAAUCGUGGAUCAGAAUGCCACGGUGAAUACGUUCCCGGGCCUUGUACACACCGCCCGUCACACCAUGGGAGUGGGCUGCAAAAGAAGUGGGUAGUUUAACCUUUCGAGGAGGACGCUCACCACUUUGUGGUUCAUGACUGGGGUGAAGUCGUAACAAGGUAGCGCUAGGGGAACCUGGCGCUGGAUCACCUCCUUA